CGAAAUAGCUUUAGGGCUAGCCUCAAGGUGAGAGAUACGGAGGUAGAGCACUGAAUGUCCUAGGGGGUAUUGCACCUACCGAAGACUAUCAAACUCCGAAUGCCGUCAUCUUAUACUUGGAGUCAGACUGUGGGUGAUAAGAUUCAUAGUCGAAAGGGCAACAGCCAGAUCGUCAGCUAAGGUCCCUAAAUGUAAGUUAAGUGGUAAAGGAUGUGGGAUUGCACAGACAACCAGGAUGUUGGCUUAGAAGCAGCCACUCAUUCAAAGAGUGCGUAAUAGCUCACUGGUCGAGUGAUCCUGCGCCGAAGAUUUCCGGGCUAAAACUUACUACCGAAGCUACGGCAUCAGUAAUGAUGGGUAGGGGAGCUUCCCAUACGGGUUGAAGCAUGACCGUAAGGACAUGUGGACAGUAUGGGAGUGAGAAUGUUGGCAUGAGUAGCGAGAUGUGGGUGAGAAUCCCACAGGCCGUAAACCCAAGGUUUCCAGGGGAAGGUUCGUCCGCCCUGGGUUAGUCGGGACCUAAGCUGAGGCCGAAAGGCGUAGGUGAUGGACAACAGGUUGAUAUUCCUGUACUACCGAUAACCGUUUGAGAGAUGGGAUGACACAGUAGGAUAAGCUAAGCACACUGUUGGUUAUGUGUGCCCAAGCAUUGAGGCAGUCAAAGUAGGUAAAUCCGCUUUGAUAAUGCUGGGAUGUGAUGGGGAGCGAAAUUUAGUAGCGAAGUAGCUGAUUUCACACUGUCAAGAAAAGUCUCUAUCGAGGUUAAAGGUACCCGUACCGCAAACCGACACAGGUGGGUGAGGAGAGUAUCCUAAGGCCAGCGAGAGAACUGUUGUUAAGGAACUCGGCAAAAUGACCCCGUAACUUAGGGAUAAGGGGUGCCACCAUCAGGUGGCCGCAGAGAAUAGGCCCAAGCGACUGUUUACCAAAAACAUAGGUUUCUGCUAAGUCGCAAGACGAUGUAUAGGAGCUGACGCCUGCCCGGUGCUGGAAGGUUAAGGGGAUCUGUUAGAGCAAUCGAAGCAGUGAACUUAAGCCCCAGUAAACGGCGGCCGUAACUAUAACGGUCCUAAGGUAGCGAAAUUCCUUGUCGGGUAAGUUCCGACCCGCACGAAAGGCGUAACGAUUUGGGCACUGUCUCAACAACAGACUCGGUGAAAUUGUAAUUCCGGUGAAGAUGCCGGAUACCUGCGACAGGACGGAAAGACCCCAUGGAGCUUUACUGUAGCUUGACAUUGGGUCUUGGUACUACAUGUACAGGAUAGGUGGGAGGCUUUGAAACCAGGACGCCAGUUUUGCGGAGCCAUCCUUGGGAUACCACCCUUGUAGUACUGGGACUCUAACCAUAGGCCAUGAAUCUGGUCUUGGGACACUGUCAGGUGGGCAGUUUGACUGGGGCGGUCGCCUCCCAAAAGGUAACGGAGGCGCUCAAAGGUUCUCUCAGUACGGUCGGAAAUCGUACGUAGAGUGUAAAGGCAAAAGAGAGCUUGAUUGCAAGACAUACAGGUCGAGCAAGGAUGAAAAUCGGACUUAGUGAUCCGGUGGUUCUGCGUGGAAGGGCCAUCGCUCAACGGAUAAAAGCUACCCUGGGGAUAACAGGCUUAUCUCCCCCAAGAGUCCACAUCGACGGGGAGGUUUGGCACCUCGAUGUCGGCUCAUCACAUCCUGGGGCUGUAGUAGGUCCAAGGGUUGGGCUGUUCGCCCAUUAAAGUGGUACGCGAGCUGGGUUCAGAACGUCGUGAGACAGUUCGGUCCCUAUCCGUCGCAGGCGUAGGAAAUUUGAGAAGACCUGUCCUUAGUACGAGAGGACCGGGAUGGACGUACCUCUGGUGUACCAGUUGUCCUGCCAAGGGCAUGGCUGGGUAGCUAUGUGCGGAAUGGAUAAGCGCUGAAAGCAUCUAAGCGCGAAGCCAACUUCAAGAUAAGAUUUCCCACCGCAAGGGUAAGACCCAGAAAGACUAUCUGGUUGAUAGGUCGAAGGUGUAAGUGCAGCAAUGUAUUUAGCUUAUCGAUACUAAUAGGUCGAGGACUUGACCAA
RNAcentral lists this ribosomal RNA (2038 nucleotides) under Clostridioides difficile. Its description in RNAcentral is "bacterial LSU rRNA". It matches the Rfam family "Bacterial large subunit ribosomal RNA", at positions 860 to 2925 of the family's 2925-position model. The record is from RNAcentral. Lineage: Bacteria; Bacillati; Bacillota; Clostridia; Peptostreptococcales; Peptostreptococcaceae.